Molecule: ribosomal RNA, 253 nt
Filed under: uncultured bacterium
Lineage: Bacteria
Description: partial 16S ribosomal RNA
Rfam family: Bacterial small subunit ribosomal RNA
Source: RNAcentral
UACGAAGGGAGCAAGCGUUGUUCGGAAUUACUGGGCGUAAAGGGCUCGUAGGCGGCCAACUAAGUCAGACGUGAAAUCCCCAGGCUCAACCUGGGAACUGCGUCUGAUACUGGAUGGCUUGAAUCCGGGAGAGGGAUGCAGAAUUCCAGGUGUAGCGGUGAAAUGCGUAGAUAUCUGGAGGAAUACCGGUGGCGAAGGCGGCAUCCUGGACCGGCAUUGACGCUGAGGAGCGAAAGCUAGGGGAGCAAACGGG